Molecule: long non-coding RNA, 2256 nt
Filed under: Homarus americanus (American lobster)
Lineage: Eukaryota; Metazoa; Arthropoda; Malacostraca; Decapoda; Nephropidae
Description: uncharacterized LOC121860835
Source: RNAcentral
AAAAAAAGAGACUUAUCUGAUUUGUAUUUGUGUAUAAUUCGCCAUUACUUUUUAAAUCCUGGAGUGUCAGGGAGUAUAGGAUGUACUGAACUGUCCUUACUCCACUCCACCCCACUCCACUCCACUGAUGCCCUCCUCUCUCCGGCUACUCUAUUCUCCUCUACUUAUGAUCCAAUACUUACGAAUUCUGAUCAUCCACCAAAGACAAGAGAGUCUGAUCAUGACAGGAAACUCACAUAUACAGUUCUCGAAUACAAUAACAAAAUUCGAUAAUUAGUGAAAAUCAAUGAUGGAACAGAAGGUCUUGGUGAGGUGUAUAGUGUUGUGGUCCAUGGCUGAUUUCCUGACGUACAAGAUAAUGGUGAUUGGUUACUCUAGAUAUAAUAGAGAAUGGUGAUUGGUUAGUCUGGAAGUAGUAGAGAAUGGUGAUUGGUUAGUCUGGACGCAGUAGAGAAUGGUGAUUGGUUAGUCUAGACGCAGUAGAGAAUGGUGAUUGGUUACUCUAGAAAUAAUAGAGAAUGGUGAUUGGUUACUCUAGAAAUAAUAGAGAAUGGUGAUUGGUUAGUCUGGAAGUAGUAGAGAAUGGUGAUUGGUUAGUCUAGACGCAGUAGAGAAUGGUGAUUGGCUACUUUAAGGUGUCUGGUACAUACUACAGGUCUAGUACUUAGUGUACAAUUGAGGCUAUAUAUCCUUUGUCAAUCUCUUCUGGCUAACCCGGUUAUAUAGCGUGUUGGAGAUUGGUUGUUCUCUCUCUCUCUCUCUCUCUCUCUCUCUCUCUCUCUCUCUCUCUCUCUCUCUUUCUCUCUUUCUCUCUCUCAAACACACUCCUGUUCGCAAAGAGUCUGACCUACGUCUUAAAUUUGGCCGGGAACUGACAACCUGAUACAACCUGAUAGAGGUCUACAGAGGUCGAGGCUACAGAAGUCGAGGCUACAGAGGUCGAGGCUCCAGAGGUCGAGGCUACAGUGGUCGAGGCUACAGAGGUCGAGGCUACAGAGGUCGAUUGGUCGGUCGGUUGGUUGGUCAGUCAGUUGCUCGGUUAGUUGGUCGGUUGGUCGGUCGGGUAUGACAGUCGGGUCUAUCCUCUUGUAUCUGACAGACAGCGGGAGGGGAUAAAGUCACAGGGAAAUCUAUAAGUCAGACAGUUGACAGACAGAACUAGACAACGAUUCUCUGUACACACACACACACACACACACACACACACACACACACACACACACACACACACACACACAGUAUCAAUACUUUGGUGUAUACACAAUACAUGUCAAGUACACAACCAUGUACACACACAGGACCUAGUAUAUACACAGUCUCAAUAUUUCUGUGUACAAAUCCUCGGGAAAUGCCACGUUCACAGUUUGUAUGUUUGCUGUGUAUACAUUCUUAGGGUACAUGGCAUACAGAGAAUCAGAUUUUAUGGUCUCUCUCUCUCUCUCUCUCUCUCACUAUCUUUUAUCAUCUCCAUCACGGCUGAGACACUCAUCACUCCCUCUCUCUCCAUAUCUCUCCCUCUCUCCCCUCUCCUUUCCUAUCCCUCUCUCCCUCAUGGCCGCCAGACAGUCCAACAUCUCGUGAUAGGUAAAUUAUUUAACUACUUAUAUGUAGAGCAAAAUUUGGUAGGUAGUAUAAUAAUGUACGAUUAUCAUAUUUCACUUUUCUUAGUCAUCUCUUUUGGGCUAUAAGUUUCCUAUAAUUAAUAUUGGUAAAAUUAAUUAUGGUUGAUUAAUUAAGGAAGUACACCUGUUUCAUGAGUUAAAUUCCUACCUGCUGACUCACCUGAGCUGCUGACUCACCUACUUGGUGACUCACCUGAAGUGUUGAGUAAAUUGUGUUGUUGUUGUUGUUGUUGGCUGAUGAAUAACUCUUAUUCAGUUUAUUUAGUUAUGUCAGAAAGCUCUAUGAAUACAGAUCCUGAAUGACUAACUAAACUGACUUGCUUGAACACUACUGGCCAGAGUCAUCACACACACACACACCACACACACACACACACACACACACACACACACACACACACACACACACACACACACACAUACACACACACACACACACACACAAAGCGACAAAAAACAGGAAUUUCAGAGUCUUUUUUGUGCUGGACACCCUGAAGACCUUUUGUUAGAGCUCGGCCGAUGAUGACCGCAGCUGUAGUGGCACCAUCACCAUUACUACCACUACCAUCAUCACCACUACCACUACCAUCAUCACCACUACCACUAACAUCACUACCACUAACAUCACUACCAC